RNAcentral lists this ribosomal RNA (422 nucleotides) under uncultured Flavobacterium sp. RNAcentral describes it as "bacterial SSU rRNA". It matches the Rfam family "Bacterial small subunit ribosomal RNA", at positions 355 to 774 of the family's 1533-position model. Lineage: Bacteria; Pseudomonadati; Bacteroidota; Flavobacteriia; Flavobacteriales; Flavobacteriaceae. The record is from RNAcentral.
UGAGGAAUAUUGGUCAAUGGACGCAAGUCUGAACCAGCCAUGCCGCGUGCAGGAUGACGGUCCUAUGGAUUGUAAACUGCUUUUGUACGAGAAGAAACACUCCUACGUGUAGGAGCUUGACGGUAUCGUAAGAAUAAGGAUCGGCUAACUCCGUGCCAGCAGCCGCGGUAAUACGGAGGAUCCAAGCGUUAUCCGGAAUCAUUGGGUUUAAAGGGUCCGUAGGCGGUUUAGUAAGUCAGUGGUGAAAGCCCAUCGCUCAACGGUGGAACGGCCAUUGAUACUGCUAGACUUGAAUUAUUAGGAAGUAACUAGAAUAUGUAGUGUAGCGGUGAAAUGCUUAGAGAUUACAUGGAAUACCAAUUGCGAAGGCAGGUUACUACUAAUUGAUUGACGCUGAUGGACGAAAGCGUGGGUAGCGAACA